Molecule: ribosomal RNA, 301 nt
Filed under: uncultured bacterium
Lineage: Bacteria
Description: partial 16S ribosomal RNA
Rfam family: Bacterial small subunit ribosomal RNA
Source: RNAcentral
CAGUCGCCACGGUAACACGGAGGGUGCAAGCGUUAAUCGGAAUUACUGGGCGUAAAGCGCACGCAGGCGGUCUGACAAGUCAGAUGUGAAAUCCCCGGGCUUAACCUGGGAACUGCAUUUGAAACUGUCAGGCUGGAGUCUUGUAGAGGGGGGUGGAAUUCCAGGUGUAGCGGUGAAAUGCGUAGAGAUCUGGAGGAAUACCGGUGGCGAAGGCGGCCCCCUGGACAAAGACUGACGCUCAGGUGCGAAAGCGUGGGGAGCAAACAGGAUUAGAUACCCCUGUAGUCCCUGUCUCUUAUAC